This 21-nucleotide non-coding RNA is filed under the name Arabidopsis thaliana (thale cress). The record is from RNAcentral. Lineage: Eukaryota; Viridiplantae; Streptophyta; Magnoliopsida; Brassicales; Brassicaceae.
UAGUUCUGUGUCUUGAGUAAG